Molecule: long non-coding RNA, 527 nt
Filed under: Androctonus crassicauda
Lineage: Eukaryota; Metazoa; Arthropoda; Arachnida; Scorpiones; Buthidae
Source: RNAcentral
CGAACAUAAAUUGGACAUACACAACGGAAGGAUGGUUACAGCCUUAGCCAGGAAGGUUUAUGAACAUAAUGUGGUCAUCAACUGGAAUCAUGCUAUGGUGGUUAAGCCAGUAUCGGAUUGCUUUGGGCUCAACGUCCUUGAGGCGAUUGAGAUUGAAAAAAGGAAACUACACUGUAAUAUUAUAAAUGACAAUCCACCUACUGAACUGCCGGAGUCCUGGAAAUGGUAUGCUCUACACGAUUUAUAAUACAUUGAUUAGUGCCCAAUUGGUGGUAUCCAUCUAUGAAUCUGAAGACGUUUAUUUACCCCUGUUGGACCUGCUAUACCAAAUAUCAUCCUAGCAUAAUUGGCAUCUUGUGUUCUAUAUAUGUUACCUGUACUUAUUAAAUGUAUAACUAUAUAGUCUCUUGUAAACGUGUAUGUUGAGUUUCUAUAUGUAAAUCUGUAUGUCACGCCCUAUGUUGAAUGUAUGCUUUUAAGGUCGUUUUUCACAUACUAUGUUUAUAAUUCAUAACAUUUGUUCAUUU